AAGGAAUAUUGCUCAAUGGGAGAAAUCCUGAAGCAGCAACGCCGCGUGGAGGAUGAAGGGUCUAUGACUUGUAAACUCCUGUAAAGAAGGAAAAAAUUCCCAUUAGAUGGGAGAUGAUGGUACUUCUGGAGUAAGCCCCGGCUAACUACGUGCCAGCAGCCGCGGUAAUACGUAGGGGGCAAGCGUUGUCCGGAUUUACUGGGUGUAAAGGGUGCUCAGGCGGAUUUGUAAGUCAGAGGUGAAAUCUUACAGCUUAACAGUGAAACUGCCUUUGAUACUGCAAGCCUAGAGUAUGGAAGAGAGUGAUGGAAUAUCUGGUGUAGCAGUGAAAUGCGUAGAUAUCAGAUAGAACACCAAUGGCGAAGGCAGUCACUUGGUCCAUUACUGACGCUAAAGCACGAAAGCGUGGGUAGCAAACA
Molecule: ribosomal RNA, 419 nt
Filed under: uncultured bacterium
Lineage: Bacteria
Description: bacterial SSU rRNA
Rfam family: Bacterial small subunit ribosomal RNA
Source: RNAcentral